Molecule: non-coding RNA, 21 nt
Filed under: Caenorhabditis elegans
Lineage: Eukaryota; Metazoa; Nematoda; Chromadorea; Rhabditida; Rhabditidae
Source: RNAcentral
UCUAUGAAGAAAAUCUAUUGG